GAUCCUGGCUCAGGAUGAACGCUAGCGACAGGCUUAACACAUGCAAGUCGAGGGGCAGCGGGGAGCAGCAAUGCUCCCGCCGGCGACCGGCGCACGGGUGAGUAACACGUAUGCGACCUGCCCUUUACAGAGGGAUAAUCGGAAGAAAUUUCGUCUAAUACCUCAUAAUACCAAGAGUCUGCAUGGAUUUUUGGUCAAAGGAGCGAUCCGGUAAAGGAUGGGCAUGCGGUACAUUAGGUAGUUGGCGGUGUAACGGACCACCAAGCCGACGAUGUAUAGGGGUUCUGAGAGGAAGGUCCCCCACACUGGAACUGAGACACGGUCCAGACUCCUACGGGAGGCAGCAGUGAGGAAUAUUGGUCAAUGGUCUGACGACUGAACCAGCCAUGCCGCGUGAAGGUGACGGCCCUAUGGGUCUUAAACUUCUUUUGUAAGGGAGCAAUAAGGCGUACGUGUACGUCGAUGAGAGUACCUUACGAAUAAGCAUCGGCUAACUCCGUG
RNAcentral lists this ribosomal RNA (501 nucleotides) under uncultured bacterium. RNAcentral describes it as "bacterial SSU rRNA". It matches the Rfam family "Bacterial small subunit ribosomal RNA", at positions 15 to 507 of the family's 1533-position model. The record is from RNAcentral.